Molecule: ribosomal RNA, 253 nt
Filed under: uncultured bacterium
Lineage: Bacteria
Description: partial 16S ribosomal RNA
Rfam family: Bacterial small subunit ribosomal RNA
Source: RNAcentral
UACGUAGGGCGCAAGCGUUAUCCGGAAUUAUUGGGCGUAAAGAGCUCGUAGGCGGUUUGUCGCGUCUGCCGUGAAAGUCCGGGGCUCAACUCCGGAUCUGCGGUGGGUACGGGCAGACCAGAGUGAUGUAGGGGAGACUGGAAUUCCUGGUGUAGCGGUGAAAUGCGCAGAUAUCAGGAGGAACACCGAUGGCGAAGGCAGGUCUCUGGGCAUUAACUGACGCUGAGGAGCGAAAGCAUGGGGAGCGAACAGG